Molecule: non-coding RNA, 149 nt
Filed under: Peptococcaceae bacterium CEB3
Lineage: Bacteria; Bacillati; Bacillota; Clostridia; Eubacteriales; Peptococcaceae
Also listed under: 1 other name
Description: Desulfitobacterium sp. enrichment culture clone CEB3 FMN riboswitch aptamer (RFN element)
Rfam family: FMN riboswitch aptamer (RFN element)
About the family: The RFN element is a highly conserved domain that is found frequently in the 5'-untranslated regions of prokaryotic mRNAs that encode for flavin mononucleotide (FMN) biosynthesis and transport proteins.
Source: Rfam by way of RNAcentral
AUGAAUCUUCGGGGCAGGGUGAAAUUCCCGACCGGCGGUGAUGAUUGCCUGCGCAAUCCAGCCCGCGACUCGGUGCGGCCGUUAGACGCACCGACUGACUUGGUGAGAAUCCAAGGCCGACGGUACAGUCCGGAUGGAAGAAGGUAAAA